GAUGAAGAACGUAGCGAAAUGCGAUAAGUAAUGUGAAUUGCAGAAUUCAGUGAAUCGUCGAAUCUUUGAACGCACAUUGCGCCCGCCAGUAUUCUGGCGAGCAUGCCUGUUCGAGCGUCAUUUCAACCAUCAAGCCCCAGGCUUGUGUUGGAGCCCUGCGGCUGCCGCAGCCUCCCAAAACCAGUGGCGGGCUCGCUAUCACACCGAGUGCAGUAGUUUACUCUUCGCUCAGGGCGUGUGGCGGGUGCUAGCCGUGAAACCCCCAACUUCUCAAGGUUGACCUCGGAUCAGGUAGGAAUACCCGCUGAACUUAAGCAUAUCAUAAGCGGAGGA
RNAcentral lists this unclassified non-coding RNA (333 nucleotides) under soil metagenome. Its description in RNAcentral is "partial contains 5.8S ribosomal RNA, internal transcribed spacer 2, and large subunit ribosomal RNA". The stretch from base 1 to 120 matches the Rfam family "5.8S ribosomal RNA", at positions 35 to 154 of the family's 154-position model. The record is from RNAcentral.